RNAcentral lists this ribosomal RNA (253 nucleotides) under uncultured bacterium. RNAcentral describes it as "partial 16S ribosomal RNA". It matches the Rfam family "Bacterial small subunit ribosomal RNA", at positions 524 to 776 of the family's 1533-position model. The record is from RNAcentral.
CACGUAGGGCGCAAGCGUUGUCCGGAAUUAUUGGGCGUAAAGAGCUCGUAGGCGGUCUGUUGCGUCCGCUGUGAAAUCUCGGGGCUUAACCCCGAGCCUGCAGUGGAUACGGGCAGACUAGAGGUAGGUAGGGGAGAAUGGAAUUCCCGGUGUAGCGGUGAAAUGCGCAGAUAUCGGGAGGAACACCGGUGGCGAAAGCGAGGUCCUGGACGUCCGCUGACGCUGAGACGCGAAAGCCAGGGGAGCGAACGGG